RNAcentral lists this ribosomal RNA (447 nucleotides) under uncultured bacterium. RNAcentral's name for it is "bacterial SSU rRNA". It matches the Rfam family "Bacterial small subunit ribosomal RNA", at positions 355 to 825 of the family's 1533-position model. The record is from RNAcentral.
UCGGGAAUUUUGGGCAAUGGGCGAAAGCCUGACCCAGCAACGCCGCGUGAAGGAUGAAGUAUUUCGGUAUGUAAACUUCGUAAGAAUAGGAAGAAUAAAUGACGGUACUAUUUGUAAGGUCCGGCUAACUACGUGCCAGCAGCCGCGGUAAUACGAAGGGGGCUAGCGUUGUUCGGAAUUACUGGGCGUAAAGCGCACGUAGGCGGAUUGUUAAGUCAGAGGUGAAAUCCCGGAGCUCAACUUCGGAACUGCCUUUGAUACUGGCAAUCUAGAGUCCGGAAGAGGUUAGUGGAAUUCCCAGUGUAGAGGUGAAAUUCGUAGAUAUUGGGAAGAACACCAGUGGCGAAGGCGGCUAACUGGUCCGGUACUGACGCUGAGGUGCGAAAGCGUGGGGAGCAAACAGGAUUAGAUACCCAAGUAGUCCCUGAGCGGGCUGGCAAGGCGCAU